UACGUAGGGUGCGAGCGUUAAUCGGAAUUACUGGGCGUAAAGCGUGCGCAGGCGGUUCGUUAAGUCAGAUGUGAAAGCCCCGGGCUCAACCUGGGAACUGCAUUUGAAACUGGCGGGCUUGAGUGUGGCAGAGGGGGGUGGAAUUCCGCGUGUAGCAGUGAAAUGCGUAGAGAUGCGGAGGAACACCGAUGGCGAAGGCGGCACGCUAGACCUCUUCUGACGCUGAGGCACGAAAGCCAGGGGAGCGAACGGG
This 253-nucleotide ribosomal RNA is filed under the name uncultured bacterium. RNAcentral describes it as "partial 16S ribosomal RNA". It matches the Rfam family "Bacterial small subunit ribosomal RNA", at positions 524 to 776 of the family's 1533-position model. The record is from RNAcentral.